This is a non-coding RNA of Potamilus streckersoni, 77 nucleotides long. NCBI's taxonomy places the organism in Eukaryota, Metazoa, Mollusca, Bivalvia, Unionida, Unionidae. The record is from the annotation of a GenBank genome assembly.
GACUGCUCCAAUGGCCUAGUGGUUAGAGCGUCUACCUUGGAUGUGGGAGGUCAUGGGUUUGAUCCCCAACUGAGUCA